RNAcentral lists this microRNA (22 nucleotides) under Mus musculus (house mouse). Its description in RNAcentral is "mmu-miR-466o-3p". Its record names the gene mmu-miR-466o-3p. The record is from miRBase by way of RNAcentral. Lineage: Eukaryota; Metazoa; Chordata; Mammalia; Rodentia; Muridae.
UACAUACAUGCACACAUAAGAC